GCUUGCGGCCACACUGGCCUGAGUACGCCUGAUCUCGUCCGAUCUCGGAAGCUAAGCAGGGUCGGGCCUGGUUAGUACUUGGAUGGGAGACAGCCUGGGAAUACCAGGUGCUGUAAGCU
RNAcentral lists this ribosomal RNA (119 nucleotides) under Oncorhynchus mykiss (rainbow trout). The record is from RNAcentral. Lineage: Eukaryota; Metazoa; Chordata; Actinopteri; Salmoniformes; Salmonidae.